Molecule: non-coding RNA, 111 nt
Organism: Nocardia sp. Root136
Lineage: Bacteria; Bacillati; Actinomycetota; Actinomycetes; Mycobacteriales; Nocardiaceae
Source: Rfam
GGUCAUGAGUACCAGCGCCAAGCCCCGGCUCGCUGGUCGGCAACCCUCCAGCUGCGGUGGGGUGCUCCGGGUGAUGACCGGGCUCUCGAAAGUCGAGAGCAAGCGCGCACU